CUGGGAAUUUUGCGCAAUGGGCGAAAGCCUGACGCAGCAACGCCGCGUGGGGGAUGAAGGCCUUCGGGUUGUAAACCCCUUUUGAUCGGGACGAAAAAAAUGACGGUACCGGUAGAAAAAGCACCGGCUAACUCUGUGCCAGCAGCCGCGGUAAUACAGAGGGUGCGAGCGUUAUUCGGAAUCACUGGGCGUAAAGCGCGCGUAGGCGGUUUGGUAAGUCUGAUGUGAAAUCCCUCGACUUAAUUGAGGAAGUGCAUUGGAAACUACUAGACUAGAGUGCAGGAGGGGAGAGCGGAAUUCCUGGUGUAGAGGUGAAAUUCGUAGAUAUCAGGAGGAACAACGGUGGCGAAGGCGGCUCUCUGGACUGUUACUGACGCUGAUAGCGCGAAAGCGUGGGGAG
This 400-nucleotide ribosomal RNA is filed under the name uncultured bacterium. Its description in RNAcentral is "bacterial SSU rRNA". It matches the Rfam family "Bacterial small subunit ribosomal RNA", at positions 355 to 768 of the family's 1533-position model. The record is from RNAcentral.